This 435-nucleotide ribosomal RNA is filed under the name uncultured bacterium. RNAcentral describes it as "partial 16S ribosomal RNA". It matches the Rfam family "Bacterial small subunit ribosomal RNA", at positions 28 to 507 of the family's 1533-position model. The record is from RNAcentral.
GAUGAACGCUGGCGGUAUGCUUAACACAUGCAAGUCGAACGGACUCUUCGGAGUUAGUGGCGGACGGGUGAGUAACGCGUGAGAAUCUGGCUUUGGGUUCGGGACAACCACUGGAAACGGUGGCUAAUACCGGAUGUGCCGAGAGGUAAAGGAGAAAUUGCCUGAAGAUGAGCUCGCGUCUGAUUAGCUAGUUGGUGAGGUAAAGGCUCACCAAGGCAGCGAUCAGUAGCUGGUCUGAGAGGAUGACCAGCCACACUGGGACUGAGACACGGCCCAGACUCCUACGGGAGGCGGCAGUGGGGAAUUUUCCGCAAUGGGCGAAAGCCUGACGGAGCAAUACCGCGUGAGGGAAGAAGGCUCUUGGGUUGUAAACCUCUUUUCUUAGGGAAGAACAAAAUGACGGUACCUAAGGAAUCAGCAUCGGCUAACUCCGUG